Molecule: ribosomal RNA, 305 nt
Filed under: uncultured bacterium
Lineage: Bacteria
Description: bacterial SSU rRNA
Rfam family: Bacterial small subunit ribosomal RNA
Source: RNAcentral
GAUAAACGCUGGCGGCGUGCAUGAGACAUGCAAGUCGAACGGACGAUCGAGGCUUGCUUCGAUCGUUAGUGGCGGACGGCUGAGUAACGCGUAGGUGACCUGCCCCGAAGUGGGGAGUAACUGCCCGAAACGGGUGGGCUAAUACCGCAUGUGGUCGGCGAUUCGUCUUCGUUCGCCUAAAGACCGCAAGGCGCUUCCGGAGGGGCCGUGCGUCCGAUUAGCUAGUUGGUGAGGUAACGGCUCACCAAGGCGACGAUCGGUAGCUGGUCUGAGAGGAUGAUCAGCCAGACUGGGACUGAGAACGG